UACGUAGGGUGCAAGCGUUGUCCGGAAUUAUUGGGCGUAAAGAGCUCGUAGGCGGUCUGUCGCGUCUGCUGUGAAAAUCCAGGGCUCAACCCUGGACCUGCAGUGGAUACGGGCAGACUAGAGUGCGGUAGGGGAGAUCGGAAUUCCUGGUGUAGCGGUGAAAUGCGCAGAUAUCAGGAGGAACACCGGUGGCGAAGGCGGGUCUCUGGGCCGUAACUGACGCUGAGGAGCGAAAGCGUGGGGAGCGAACAGG
This 253-nucleotide ribosomal RNA is filed under the name uncultured bacterium. RNAcentral's name for it is "partial 16S ribosomal RNA". It matches the Rfam family "Bacterial small subunit ribosomal RNA", at positions 524 to 776 of the family's 1533-position model. The record is from RNAcentral.